Long non-coding RNA from Scophthalmus maximus (turbot), 1825 nucleotides. RefSeq lists it as uncharacterized. NCBI's taxonomy places the organism in Eukaryota, Metazoa, Chordata, Actinopteri, Pleuronectiformes, Scophthalmidae. The record is from RefSeq and is a predicted model, not a curated record. The transcript is spliced from 4 exons.
UCAAGCAUUUUAACAGUUCCUGUGUGAAUGUUGCAGCUUUUGAAUGCAUCACUCAUGAUUAUAUCCUCCAUGUAGUAGGGCAAUUAUCUCUCUGCUCCUUUGGCAAUAUCAGCUGAUUAGACGGACAUCCCCUAACAGCCUUCAGCAAUACAUCACAAGGCAAUUCGGAUAAUUUGUUGCAUCAAUUGACAGUUCCUGUAAUCACAUUUGGUCUUGGAAAUGCACUCAUCCAAAGGUUUUUUCUAGUCCGAGCUUUCAUAUUAGCAUCGCAGCCCACACACCUUCAGACGAAAGGGAUGCGAGAGGACGGAGAUUGCCACGUAUCCUUGAGAGCAAUUUUUUAAUUUCUUGGUGCUCCAUCUGUUGAAAUGAUAAAGUGCAGCCAUAAUGGAGUGCAACAAGAUUAAAUUAAUCAGGUUUUGUCCAUUAUAGCGCCGCAGGCUCUUCACGGAUGAUUGCAAUUUUCCCUGUCAGGCCCAUUAUUGUGAGAUCUGUUUAGUGGCUUGAUGCAAUUAAAAUGGACUUAAUGUAAAUUUAACAAUACAAAUAACACUUCUGUCUGUGUAUGUUUAAGAGGGGCGCGGCUGGGGGUCCCGAAGUGCAACGGAUCUGGUUGCACGGACCACCCUCGUCUGGAUGUUGGCCGUAAGGAACACAACACCUUCCACAAGCGUAUCAUGAUGCCCAUACAUCAUUUGAACCUGAAGAGAGUGGGGGGGGUUUCCCCCGCCCCAUCACGGUGCGGGGGCCUUAUCGUGCUGCCCGCUCUCAAUAGGCAGGACCAACGCUAAGAUUUCAGAUGCUGGCCAACCUCUCUGAGGGAACAGGUGUCCCCUCUGUCUGCCUGUGGUUGGGGUCCCGUAGUGGAAGCAUGGGAAAGGGCAGCCAUCGUGGAGGUUCUACCCCAGCGGACAGACUGAAAAUCUGACGUGACACGAGAAGGAUUUGGGGCCUUGUGGUGAGCGGGUCAUUGUCAGAUCAAAAGAGCGUCGGUGUCAGCCCUGAAGCAUCCAGCUCCUCGGUGUGAUCUGGGAUCAAUGGAGCAGGUGUGGGGGGAGAACACAGGGCAGGUAAAUAUCUCGGAGGCUAACACCUUUAACUCCUCAUUAGGCACAACUUUGCAUGGACUUUGACAGAAGAAGUCCAAAGUCUUAACCAUCUGGGAGUUUAGGUCAGGAAACGACUAAUUAAUGUCCAAGUAAUGAAAAAGUAAUUCAUGUUUUUUGUGCUGCAACAGUUAGGCCAUUUAUGUUAACUCUCACUGACAAUACACUCGCCCUGUGAUCUCCUCCGUUCAUAAAGGUAGCCCCAACAUAAACAGCUAAAUCAUCAAAGUCAACCGUAGCCUCAAAGAAGCUCCGGGGUUGAGGGGGGAAAAAAGGGCAUUUGCAAAUGUCAUGCUUGACCCCUUACACGAGAAAUUCUGCGGAGUGAUAAUAUACCGAUGGGGAUGCCAUUAAAAACAGUUUCAAGCUCCUCCUGGAUUCAUUUGCACUGACCCAGAAUGCAGUAUUUUCUUAACACAAGCAGCAGGCCGCUUUGAUGUUAUCUCCCUAUCCAAACAGUGGAGGGCCGGCCGCCCCUGCCCCGCCUGUGGCCGCGGAGGACGGCGUCGAUUAAUCACAGUGAGGCCUUCCGAGGGCGCGCUCAUAAAUCGCCCCGCCGCCCCUUAAACAGGAGAGUCCCAAGGCGCAGCGCCGUCAUUUAUCAACACUCUCCCCUCCGGAUGAGGGGUAAAUAAAACUCUGAAUAUGUAACGGCGGGGUGCAGAGGGAGGGUGUCCUGGGAUGUUGAGCAUAUCCAGUGGUGUAAUGGUAAAUAAAGA